This 485-nucleotide ribosomal RNA is filed under the name uncultured bacterium. RNAcentral describes it as "partial 16S ribosomal RNA". It matches the Rfam family "Bacterial small subunit ribosomal RNA", at positions 28 to 523 of the family's 1533-position model. The record is from RNAcentral.
GACGAACGCUGGCGGCGUGCUUAACACAUGCAAGUCGAACGGUGAAAGCGGAGCUUGCUCCGCUGGAUCAGUGGCGAACGGGUGAGUAACACGUGGGCAACCUGCCCCUCACUUCGGGAUAACUCCGGGAAACCGGGGCUAAUACCGGAUAUGACCUCCUUGGGCAUCCUUGGCGGUGGAAAGUUUUUCGGUGAGGGAUGGGCCCGCGGCCUAUCAGCUUGUUGGUGGGGUAGUGGCUCACCAAGGCGACGACGGGUAGCCGGCCUGAGAGGGCGACCGGCUACACUGGGACUGAGACACGGCCCAGACUCCUACGGGAGGCAGCAGUGGGGAAUAUUGCGCAAUGGGCGAAAGCCUGACGCAGCAACGCCGCGUGCGGGAUGACGGCCUUCGGGUUGUAAACCGCUUUCAGCAGGGAAGAAGCCGCAAGGUGACGGUACCUGCAGAAGAAGCACCGGCUAACUACGUGCCAGCCGCCGCCGUAA